Molecule: transfer RNA, 71 nt
Filed under: Marmota marmota marmota (Alpine marmot)
Lineage: Eukaryota; Metazoa; Chordata; Mammalia; Rodentia; Sciuridae
Also listed under: 1 other name
Rfam family: tRNA
About the family: Transfer RNA (tRNA) molecules are approximately 80 nucleotides in length. Their secondary structure includes four short double-helical elements and three loops (D, anti-codon, and T loops).
Source: Rfam by way of RNAcentral
GUGGCUGUGGCUUAGUGGUAGAGUGCUUGCCUAGCAUGUGUGAGGCACUGGGUUCAAUCCUCAGCACCACA